Molecule: long non-coding RNA, 406 nt
Organism: Salarias fasciatus (jewelled blenny)
Lineage: Eukaryota; Metazoa; Chordata; Actinopteri; Blenniiformes; Blenniidae
Exons: 4
Source: RefSeq, a predicted model, not a curated record
CCUGUGCGUCUCCUCUCCUCUGGCGUCCACACUCCAUGCAGCCGAUUCCAGAGACAGACACUUCUCCUUAACGCUAAAAGAGCUGGUCACAGAUUCCUAGCUCAGGCUUGGUGACCUUGCGGCCGUUCAUGAGCUUUGUGGUCUCCGGUCUCGUACGUGUGGGCUGCCUUGUAGUUCCUCGCUCUCUAUUCUUGCGUGAAGCGCUUUAUUGACUUACAGCUGGGUGCGAGGUUUGUUUUCCUCCUGCUGCUCCUGGUUCAGAGCGCGGCCUUGGUUUCCAACCGGGCCUCCUCUUUUCCCCUGAUUUGGUACUCCUCUCCGGAUUUUCGCGUUCCUCUCCCACUUCCUACUGGCUCCUUGUCUGCCGCUGCGGAGCACUGUGAGCAGGGUGACGUACAGACUGUUG